GCAGCUAUCACCCUUUGGGGGUCAACCUUACUACUCAACCUGAGAUGCAAAGGAAUAAUUCAGAAGCUAUAUGGGGACAAUUUUCAUAAGUGCUUGACCUCAACAAAAAAAGUAAAAUGGAUUUUAUCGUACUUAGAAAAUCAACAAUUGCAGUCUGGAUUCAAACAUCACUGUUUGAUGCACCCAACUUGAGUCAAAAGAUGCUUCAACUCCCACUAUGCUGGAGAUUACAGACAUACCACAAGAUGAUGACUCACACAUCAGAAACAUAACAGAGACCUGGAGCCUGAAAGCACUCGUUCAAAGUCUUCUAGCAACAGAAAUA
Saimiri boliviensis boliviensis (Bolivian squirrel monkey) is the source of this 325-nucleotide non-coding RNA. Lineage: Eukaryota; Metazoa; Chordata; Mammalia; Primates; Cebidae. The record is from RefSeq and is a predicted model, not a curated record.